This is a long non-coding RNA of Mytilus californianus (California mussel), 1551 nucleotides long. RefSeq lists it as uncharacterized. Lineage: Eukaryota; Metazoa; Mollusca; Bivalvia; Mytilida; Mytilidae. The record is from RefSeq and is a predicted model, not a curated record. The transcript has 21 exons.
GUAGAUGGGACAUUAGGAUGUUUAACAUAUACAGCCAAAAUAUGUUACACUCCUUGACAAUGAAGAUGGUUUCAUGGUAGAUUGAUCACACAUCUGGAUACGUAGCAUAUACAGACUAAAUAUGUUACACUCCUAGACAAUGAAGAUGCUUUCAUGGUAUAUAGCACACGAAGAUACAUAUCAUAUACAGCCUAAAUAUGUUACACUCUUCGACAAUGAAAAUGGUUUCAUUGUAGAUAGCACAUUAGGAUUUGUCACAUAUACAGCCUAAAUAUGUAAGACUCCUAUACCAUGAAAGAUGCUUCCAUUGCAGAUAGCACAUUAGGAUUAGUCACAUAUACAGCCUAAAUAUAUAAGACUCCUAUACCAUGAAAGAUGCUUCCAUUGCAGAUAGCACAUUAGGAUAAGUCACAUAUACAGCCUAAAUAUGUUGCACUCCUAGACAGAGAAGAUGGAUUCAUGGCAGAUAGGAAGAGUCAACAUAUACAGCCCAGAUGUGUUCCACUCCCACACAAUGAAGAUAGUUUCAUGGUAGAUGGGACAUUAGGAUGUUUAACAUAUACAGCCAAAAUAUGUUACACUCCUUGACAAUGAAGAUGGUUUCAUGGUAGAUUGAUCACACAUCUGGAUACGUAGCAUAUACAGACUAAAUAUGUUACACUCCUAGACAAUGAAGAUGCUUUCAUGGUAUAUAGCACACGAAGAUACAUAUCAUAUACAGCCUAAAUAUGUUACACUCUUCGACAAUGAAAAUGGUUUCAUUGUAGAUAGCACAUUAGGAUUUGUCACAUAUACAGCCUAAAUAUGUAAGACUCCUAUACCAUGAAAGAUGCUUCCAUUGCAGAUAGCACAUUAGGAUUAGUCACAUAUACAGCCUAAAUAUGUAAGACUCCUAUACCAUGAAAGAUGCUUCCAUUGCAAAUAGCACAUUAGGAUAAGUCACAUAUUAUACAGCCUAAAUAUGUAACACUCCUAUACCAUGAAAGAUGCUUUCAUUGUAGAUAGCACAUUAGGAUGUUGCUCAUAUACAGCCUAAAUAUGUUGCACUCCUAGACAGAGAAGAUGGAUUCAUGGCAGAUAGGAAGAGUCGACAUAUACAGCCCAGAUGUGUUCCUCUCCCACACAAUGAAGAUAGUUUCAUGGUAGAUGGGACAUUAGGAUGUUUAACAUAUACAGCCAAAAUAUGUUACACUCCUUGACAAUGAAGAUGGUUUCAUGGUAGAUUGAUCACACAUCUGGAUACGUAGCAUAUACAGACUAAAUAUGUUACACUCCUAGACAAUGAAGAUGCUUUCAUGGUAUAUAGCACACGAAGAUACAUAUCAUAUACAGCCUAAAUAUGUAAGACUCCUAUACCAUGAAAGAUGCUUCCAUUGCAGAUAGCACAUUAGGAUUAGUCACAUAUACAGCCUAAAUAUGUUGCACUCCUAGACAGAGAAGAUGGAUUCAUGGCAGAUAGGAAGAGUCAACAUAUACAGCCCAGAUGUGUUCCACUCCCACACAAUGAAGAUAGUUUCAUGGUAGAUGGGACAUAAGGAUGUUUAACAUGUA